UAGGGAAUCUUCCNCNAUGGACGAAAGCCUGACCGAGCAACGCCGCGUGAGUGANGAAGGUCUUCGGAUCGUAAAGCUCUGUUGUUAGAGAAGAACGUUGGUGGGAGUGGCUGAGCUCCUCUUGGAGGGACACUAACCAAAAGGGGACGGUUAAUUACUGGCAACCGGCCGGGGAAUAAGUUAGGGCCCGAGGGUUUUCGGAAUUUUUGGGGGGAAAGGGGAGCGCAGGGGGUUCUUUAAUCUGAAGGGUAAACCCACGGGUUUACCCAUUGGACGCUUUGGAAACUGGAGGACUUGAGUGCAGAAGAGGAAAGUGGAAUUCCAUGUGUAUCGGUGAAAUGCGCAGAUAUAUGGAGGAACACCGGUGGCGAAAGCGGCUCUCUGGUCUGUAACUGACGCUGAGGCUCGAAAGCGUGGGGAGCAAACAGGAUUAGAUACCCUGGUAGUCCACGCCGUAAACGAUGAGUGCUAGGUGUUAGGCCCUUUCCGGGGCUUAGUGCCGCAGCUAACGCAUUAAGCACUCCGCCUGGGGAGUACGACCGCAAGGUUGAA
Molecule: ribosomal RNA, 552 nt
Filed under: uncultured bacterium
Lineage: Bacteria
Description: bacterial SSU rRNA
Rfam family: Bacterial small subunit ribosomal RNA
Source: RNAcentral